UACGGGGGGGUAAGCGUUGUUCGGAAUUACUGGGCGUAAAGUGUGCGCAGGCGGCCGAGCAAGUCGAGUGUGAAAGCCCCGGGCUUAACUUGGGAAUUGCGCUCGAAACUACUUGGCUGGAGUGUGGCAGAGGAAGGUGGAAUUCCAGGUGUAGCGGUGAAAUGCGUAGAGAUCUGGAGGAACACCGAUGGCGAAGGCAGCCUUCUGGGCCAACACUGACGCUGAGGCGCGAAAGCGUGGGGAGCAAACAGG
Molecule: ribosomal RNA, 252 nt
Filed under: uncultured bacterium
Lineage: Bacteria
Description: partial 16S ribosomal RNA
Rfam family: Bacterial small subunit ribosomal RNA
Source: RNAcentral